GGCUGGGGGACUUGGCGUCCGUCCAGUUACUUGGGGCUCCCGCGGGGUGGUCCCCUGUGGGUCCCUCGUGCCUGCGGUACCAAGGGCAACGCCAACAAAACGCCUGGCCGCAUGCGCCUGUAGCCAGCUAUUUUUCUUUGGCCUUAUUUUGACCGAUUUACAGCUGCUGGAAUCCUGAUGUGGAACCUCCGACUUCCCAACGGAAGAGGAAAGGCCCAGUACCUAAAACUGAUUUAUGGACAGAAACUCCCGAAGCAUGAGAAGCGUGUGGCCUCUCCGCCCUCUCCUUGCAGGGCGGGCAGCGCUGGCAUCCAGGUCGUGCGCUGCCUUCAUUUCAGCCACUUCACAUUCUCAGCCUUUCAAACACCACCCGUCUCCCUCCUUUCCAAAAUAAAACUGAAAUUAGAUUUUAUUAAUUAGGAAAUGACGUCCCAAUUAAACCACCUUGUGUUUCACAUAACACAUUUCUAAACAACUUUUAAAAUAUUUGGUGUUUAAACAAAGGAAAAACAUCUAAGGUGACACAGCGAUGAAGGGAGAACCUCCGCUUGGAGGCUGCUACAUGUUACAGCCGCAAGACAUCCGACCCGCACUGUGGAAUCUUUCUCUGUCUUACUUAAACAGGAGUUGGGACUAAGGAAAGUGUUAUUCCUCAAGUGUGUGGCUGCAGACUCCAGUCUUUUAGACAUUUGAAUGGCAGGAGGCAGACCGAGCAGUUACCCAGUGAAACCCGACCUUCAAGCCGAAGACAGUUUAAAGCCGACCUACAAGUCCCAGUGUAUCAUCAUUCUUCUUGGACGUGGGACAAGAGCUCAGGAUGCACCAAAUGUGAAUACAGAGAAGGCUGUAACUCCAUAACCCUUUGCCCUUCACCAGCAGAGGGCAGCCACCCCAUGUGACAGAAGCAGCAGUGGGACUGAGCCAGCCCUGGAGCCAUGGGCUGAUGCGGGGCAAGCGGCUGACAGAGCUGUUGACGCACCACUGUCCAUCAGGAUGCAGACUAAAAGAGCUAAUUAGCAUGCUGUAACACCCCCUCUGGGGCUUCAGGAUCACAGCACCCCUACCUGGGCGCCACCGUGUUCCCCUUGUCUGGACGCCGGAGUCCACCAUGGGAGUGGCUUGCAACAUGCCUGGUCCAGCCACAAGCCCUGCAUGGAGCCUGCGUCUGUGCUGACACUUGGAACCGUUGGCUGGACCCCGCACUCACUCGCUCACACCCCCUCCCACUGGGGGCUGAGUGCACAGUCGGAACAGCCGCAAACGCUGGAGUGCGGGCCUGGCAUGACAUGAUGGGCCAAGUGAAUGGGCAUCUCCUGUGGCAAACCUGGGCCUGAGCAAGGGUGUCGCUGGCUGGGGGUCUCUGGCUGACAAGUGACCAAGAAAAGUCAUGCGCCGCCAUCGUGUCCUGAACUGAUUUUUCAGGUUUCUUUGAAACCCCCUUGGCUGAAGGUGGGGGUAGGGGGUUCCAUUCAGUCAGUUGGGGGAGCUUAGUAUCUUAUUUUUGGUUUAUAUAACUUGAAAUUGUCCAGCUGUCAGACUCUGCCACCAACUGGCUAUCCUACAAUCCAACCCCAUUCACACUCACUCGCAGAGUUAGCACAGACCCCACAGG
RNAcentral lists this long non-coding RNA (1612 nucleotides) under Homo sapiens (human). Its description in RNAcentral is "HSALNT0317806". The record is from RNAcentral. Lineage: Eukaryota; Metazoa; Chordata; Mammalia; Primates; Hominidae.